AAUUUGAAGAGUUGAUCAAAUAAGACAAUAAUCUAAUGGUUUAGAAGUAAUACUUCAUUCAAUGAUUGAGAUUUAUGAUGCUAACUCAUAAAAACCCUAGAGAUAAAGCACUACAUCAAGAUUCAAGAGAUAGGAAGCAACUUCUCAAAAUCCAAAAGUCAAGAAAGAAGGCACCACUUAAGAAACCCUAACUCCCUCA
This 199-nucleotide long non-coding RNA is filed under the name Elaeis guineensis (African oil palm). RNAcentral describes it as "long non-coding RNA (EGUI_LNC031010)". Lineage: Eukaryota; Viridiplantae; Streptophyta; Magnoliopsida; Arecales; Arecaceae. The record is from RNAcentral.